This 473-nucleotide ribosomal RNA is filed under the name uncultured bacterium. Its description in RNAcentral is "bacterial SSU rRNA". It matches the Rfam family "Bacterial small subunit ribosomal RNA", at positions 355 to 825 of the family's 1533-position model. The record is from RNAcentral.
UGGGGAAUUUUGGACAAUGGGCGCAAGCCUGAUCCAGCCAUGCCGCGUGCAGGAUGAAGGCCUUCGGGUUGUAAACUGCUUUUUGUACGGAACGAAAAGACUCUGGUUAAUACCUGGGGUCCAUGACGGUACCGUAAGAAUAAGCACCGGCUAACUACGUGCCAGCAGCCGCGGUAAUACGUAGGGUGCGAGCGUUAAUCGGAAUUACUGGGCGUAAAGCGUGCGCAGGCGGUUAUAUAAGACAGAUGUGAAAUCCCCGGGCUCAACCUGGGAACUGCAUUUGUGACUGUAUAGCUAGAGUACGGCAGAGGGGGAUGGAAUUCCGCGUGUAGCAGUGAAAUGCGUAGAUAUGCGGAGGAACACCGAUGGCGAAGGCAAUCCCCUGGACCUGUACUGACGCUCAUGCACGAAAGCGUGGGGAGCAAACAGGAUUAGAUACCCUCGUAGUCCCUGAGCGGGCUGGCAAGGCGCAU